GAUGAACGCUGGCGGCGUGCCUAAUACAUGCAAGUCGGACGGAGCGCUUCGGCGCUCAGUGGCGAACGGGUGAGUAAUACAUAAGUAACCUGCCCUAGACAGGGGGAUAACUGCUGGAAACGGCAGCUAAGACCGCAUAGGUAUGGACACUGCAUGGUGACCAUAUUAAAAGUGCCAAGGCACUGGUAGAGGAUGGACUUAUGGCGCAUUAGCUGGAUGGUGAGGUAACGGCUCACCAAGUCGACGAUCCAUAGCCGGACUGAGAGGUUGAACGGCCACAUUGGGACUGAGACACGGCCCAG
This 302-nucleotide ribosomal RNA is filed under the name uncultured bacterium. RNAcentral describes it as "bacterial SSU rRNA". It matches the Rfam family "Bacterial small subunit ribosomal RNA", at positions 28 to 334 of the family's 1533-position model. The record is from RNAcentral.